Molecule: long non-coding RNA, 533 nt
Organism: Nomascus leucogenys (northern white-cheeked gibbon)
Lineage: Eukaryota; Metazoa; Chordata; Mammalia; Primates; Hylobatidae
Exons: 3
Source: RefSeq, a predicted model, not a curated record
CCUCCCAGCUUCAAGCAAUGCUCCCACCUUGGCCUCCCAAAGUGCUGGUAUUACAGGCAUGAGCCACCAUGCUUGGCCCAUUGCCAUUGCACUUCAGCUCGUUCUCCUGAACAGUGAAUUAUCUUAGGAAAGAUUGUAUUUUCAGGAAUUAAGUCUACUGGAGGCACAGCAGGACUCCACAGCCAGCUAGAUUCAGAUAAAAUGUAGACCGCCUCAAGGCCAGUGUGUUGACUUCUGACCAGUCUCAUCUGAACCCACAGCCUUUAACAUAUAUACAAAACACCCUGAAGGGUUGGGCUGCCAGCUUUCUUUAGGAUGAUAGAGGGCAGGUUAAGUUUGUUUGACAUAACUGGAAGAGGCAGAGCCUCUUCCUAAUGGAGCAAGGUCCAUUUAUGGCAAAUUGUGGUUCCCCACCACUCUCAGCUACUUCUGGAUAGCUUUUGCUUAGAGUUGAUGAGAUAUUGUUUCUUUCACUAGAAGAAAGUGAAUGAGUUGGUGAUCUCAAACUUCGGUCUCCAAAGGAAGCCUGGGCA